This 342-nucleotide ribosomal RNA is filed under the name uncultured bacterium. RNAcentral describes it as "bacterial SSU rRNA". It matches the Rfam family "Bacterial small subunit ribosomal RNA", at positions 8 to 350 of the family's 1533-position model. The record is from RNAcentral.
AGAGUUUGAUCAUGGCUCAGGAUGAACGCUAGCUACAGGCUUAACACAUGCAAGUCGAGGGGCAGCAUGUUGGUUGCUUGCAACCAAUGAUGGCGACCGGCGCACGGGUGAGUAACGCGUAUCCAACCUACCCUUGUCCAUCGGAUAACCCGUCGAAAGGCGGCCUAACACGAUAUGCGGUUCUCAGCAGGCAUCUAACGAGAACGAAAUGUGAAGGAGAAGGAUGGGGAUGCGUCUGAUUAGCUUGUUGGCGGGGUAACGCCACAAGGCGACGAUCAGUAGGGGUCUGAGAGAGGUCCCCANAUUGGAACUGAGACACGGUCCAAACUCCUACGGGAGGCA